GGCACGUUGGGCUGGGCACAUCUCCCAGGGGGCUGGGAGAAGAAGGUGGCCCUGGCUUCGCCAGGGCUUUGGGGAGGAGGCAGGCAUUCUUGUGAGUCCAUUCAUCCGCUCAGCUAUUUCCUGCCCUGCUUCAGCAUGGAGUGCUCCACCUGCUCCUACUUAACCAUUUCCUGUUUACAGGCCUCCUGUGCCUCUGAGCUCCAGGACAGCAGACAGCAGCCCAUGGACCGGCCAGACCUACUGGAAGCUUCAGGGGGAUUCUCAACCUCAGGACUUGACACUUCGGGCUGGAAAUUUCCUAUCGUGGCACCGUCCUGUGCACUCAGAGCCAACCCUAGACGACACAGAACUCCUUCCCCCUGACAGGAUGUUUCUGAGAACUUCUAGAACACCGGUCCUCAAAUAUGAAUGUGCAUCCUGAUGUCGGAAGGCUUGCCUCAGCUCCUGACUCUUGGGUUGCAGCGCCAGGGAUUGUGAUGCAAGGGAGGUGAAGUCCAGGAGCCCACACCUUAAAUACCGGGGUAAAGCCACUUAGGUGCCUGCAGAACCCCUCCUUCAUUUUGAGAUCAGGACUUUAGAGUGAUGGGGAAUAUCGCUAACUGUGAAGAGUUAUGCUGACGUCUGGAAGGGUUGUUUUCCUCUUGUAGCAGGCUCUAAAAUUACAGGCAGUAUUAUGCUAAUUUGGAGGAAGGUUGGAGCUUGUU
Long non-coding RNA from Peromyscus leucopus (white-footed mouse), 704 nucleotides. RefSeq lists it as uncharacterized. The record is from RefSeq and is a predicted model, not a curated record. NCBI's taxonomy places the organism in Eukaryota, Metazoa, Chordata, Mammalia, Rodentia, Cricetidae. The transcript has 3 exons.